UUGUAAUAGUAUGUUUUUUGGUUUAAUAGUCGGCUUUAAGUUAGUUUUUCUGUCAGUUUGAUCGUCAAAAUCUUGAAAGUUAUCUGCAGCCACACAUCCACUGUAUACCAAGUUAUGAUGAACAAUUAUGAAAAUGCAAAAGGAUUGAUAGAUCAGUAAACAAGCAACAAAAAGCUUUACAAAAAAUGUAGAAUUUGUAGGAGCGCAUGGACAUCUGAGUAACAAAGUCAUAUUAUGCAGAUGGGUGCUCAUGGUGGCCUCCAAAUAAAUACAUGGACAGGCUGCUAAAGAGGGUCAGGAUGAUGGAGAUGCAAGAGCCAAAGACAGCACAGACCAAACACCAGGCCAGAAUUCUGCAUGAGUCAGAUUGAGUAAUUUUCACUCUAGAGACCCUUGGGUGACCACCAAGGACGAAUGCAAACUCCAGUGAGUGUCUCUAAGGUAGAUCCUAAUGCAGAUGGAUGGAAUGUUGAUCCGCCUAACAUGCAAGCUACAGAGGGCAUCCUUUAUUCAGUCCCUAAUGCAGAUGGUUGGAGUGUUGAUCUACCUAACAUGAGGGGUAAAAGAGCGUUUGUUAGCAUAAUGAGAAAGAAAACAGAAACACAUUAUUAGUGGCAUUUAAAAACAUAACACUUGUUUAUACUACAUUUUAUGUUCAAUCCAUAGAGCACUCGUUUUGAGUCCUGAGACCCUGGGGUGACCACCGUGAACAAAUACAGAAGCACUCAAUUUGAGUCCUGAGACCCUGGGGUGACCACCGUGAACAAAUACAGACUGCAAUAGCAGUCUUGACGGUACUAGGAUGAAUGCAAAUAAAGACUAACCACCUGACAUCAGCUGUCCAGUCUCUUGUGGGAAGCAGGUGCUUGUUACCCCAAAUACGGAUGAAGAGUGACGAAGAGGAUGAUGACUUU
Paramisgurnus dabryanus is the source of this 914-nucleotide non-coding RNA. NCBI's taxonomy places the organism in Eukaryota, Metazoa, Chordata, Actinopteri, Cypriniformes, Cobitidae. The record is from RefSeq and is a predicted model, not a curated record.